GAAUGGCCUAGAUUGACGCUGGCGGCAGGCCUAACACAUGCAAGUCGAGCGGCAGCGGGAAAGUAGCUUGCUACUUUUGCCGGCGAGCGGCGGACGGGUGAGUAAUGCCUGGGGAUCUGCCCAGUCGAGGGGGAUAACUACUGGAAACGGUAGCUAAUACCGCAUACGCCCUACGGGGGAAAGCAGGGGACCUUCGGGCCUUGCGCGAUUGGAUGAACCCAGGUGGGAUUAGCUAGUUGGUGAGGUAAUGGCUCACCAAGGCGACGAUCCCUAGCUGGUCUGAGAGGAUGAUCAGCCACACUGGAACUGAGACACGGUCCAGACUCCUACGGGAGGCAGCAGUGGGGAAUAUUGCACAAUGGGGGAAACCCUGAUGCAGCCAUGCCGCGUGUGUGAAGAAGGCCUUCGGGUUGUAAAGCACUUUCAGCGAGGAGGAAAGGUUGGUAGCUAAUAACUGCCAGCUGUGACGUUACUCGCAGAAGAAGCACCGGCUAACUCCGUGCCAGCCGCCGCGGUAAU
Molecule: ribosomal RNA, 519 nt
Filed under: Aeromonas veronii
Lineage: Bacteria; Pseudomonadati; Pseudomonadota; Gammaproteobacteria; Aeromonadales; Aeromonadaceae
Description: bacterial SSU rRNA
Rfam family: Bacterial small subunit ribosomal RNA
Source: RNAcentral